AGAGUUUGAUCCUGGCUCAGGACGAACAUUGGCGGCGCGCCUAAUGCAUGCAAGUCGAGCGAACUCGUUUUCUUCGGAAAGCACAUAGUUAGCGGCGAACGGCUGAGUAACGCGUAAGUAACCUGCCUCGAAGAGGGGAAAAACUAUGAGAAAUCAUAGCUAAUUCCGCGUAAUGUCAGUUAAUUAAUUUAACUGAAGAAAGAUUUAUCGCUUUGAGAUGGGCUUGCGUCCUAUCACGUAGUUGGUAAGGUAAUGGCUUACCAAGCCUAAGACGGGUAGCUGGAGUGAGAGCUUGACCAGCCAGAGGGGGACUGAGACACGGCCCCCACUCCUACGGGAGGCAGCAGCAGGGAAUCUUGCACAAUGGGCGAAAGCCUGAUGCAGCGACGCCGCGUGAGGGAUGAAGGUUCUAGGAUCGUAAACCUCUUUUCUUAGGGAAUAGUUUGGAAGGUACCUAAGGAAUAAGUCACGGCUAACUACGUGCCAGCAGCCGCGGUAAUACGUAGGUGGCAAAUGUUGUCCGGAAUCAUUGGGCGUAAAGGGUCCGUAGGUGGCAUAAAAAGUCUUAUGUGAAAUCUCUUGGCUCAACCAAGAAACGCCAUAAGAAACUUUUAUGCUAGAGAUCAUCAGAGGGAGGUAGAAUUCCAGGUGUAGUGGUGAAAUGCGUAGAUAUCUGGAGGAAUACCAAUGGCGAAAGCAGCCUCCUGGGGUGAAUCUGACAUUGAGGGACGAAAGCGUGGGUAGCAAACCGGAUUAGAUACCCGGGUAGUCCAUGCCGUAAACGAUGAAUACUGGGUCUUCGGGGAAUCGACCCCCUGUGGACCGAAGCUAACGCGUUAAGUAUUCCGCCUGGGGAGUACGGUCGCAAGACUAAAACUCAAAGGAAUUGACGGGGGCCCGCACAAGCAGCGGAGCGUGUGGUUUAAUUCGAUGGUAAACGAAGAACCUUACCUAGGUUUGACAUAUAAGUAGUACUGACCCGAAAGGUGAUGGACCCGCAAGG
Molecule: ribosomal RNA, 1003 nt
Filed under: marine metagenome
Description: bacterial SSU rRNA
Rfam family: Bacterial small subunit ribosomal RNA
Source: RNAcentral